AGAGAUACACGUCACAGAAGAACCGCAAGACACCCUUACACUGGUAUUCCGAAAAUUUUCGUUCUCCUCCUUCCAUGCUCUAAUUCUUGUAUUUCAAUAUCGUCGGUGAUUAAUUGUACCCUGCAAGAUGUGAAUUCAAACUGUAGAACUGGAAUAACCAAUGAAAUAAGUUUCCAUAUACCAAAAGAUUCAUCCAUUAAAUGUAGAGGUAAAAGUACAGUAACUAUCAGAAUGUAUAGUUUUGAAGUUUCCAAAGAAAAAAAUAUGUAAGAAAAUAAAUGAAAUGAGGUAAGCUUUUAGGGAAAUAUAUAAGUAAAAGGUAUCAAUUAUCCUCAUCACUAAAUGUUUUCGUUGAACCUCAGCUUGUGAUAAAACAAACGGUUUACCCUUUAUUAAGACCACCGGGUUAGUAAAGCAUAGAACUAUUAAUAGAUGCAAAAGUAUUGCAUUCUUAGAGGCUAUUAAAGCAUAAAACCAUUAAUAAGUCUUUAAAAGAUUAGAUAUCCGGCCAAUGUAAUAUCAAUGCAGCCCGACCAUUUUUUUCUUAUUACAGUUAAUAAUCACUAAAAAAUACGAAUGACACAGUAUUUUAUUCUAUAAUGAAAAAUAACAGGAACCCACAAAUAGGUACAUCCAAGUAAUAAUUUUGCUAUAGCAACGAGAAAAAUAUAGGCAAAUAAUUAAUGAUGAUUAGACGUCGCCUAUGGGGAUUAUGGCCAAAAGCAACAGAAGUCUCAGUUGAAACAGUUCAAAUUUUGGGAAAAUUGUACAUAUAAAUAUAGUUUUUCUCUGCACCACAAAAUGAAACCAUCCUAAAUAUAUUUACAUAAGAUGGAAAGUUAUACCCAAUUUAUAAGUCUGUAAAUGGAAAUACGCACAGUUUAUCUUCGCAGUUCGGUGGUCACCAUCAACUGCAAAAUGAGUCCUCAAGCCUCCAUCUUUUUCUACUGAAAUUUACAACAGCCCUAACUGUUCCAUCAAAUUAGAAACAAAAAGCUAAAGCAAGGAAAUAGAACAAAGAAAUUGGGGAGCUAAGAAAUGUCAUGAAUGCAGGAAAUUUUAGAGAACUAACAAUUUUAGAGAACUUGGUUGGUCAACUUAUAAUUAUGAAAAGAAAAAAAAUAUGGUUAUUUUUAAAGUUUGGAAACUGCUACACUCAUAGCUUGAAUAAAGUUCUCUAUAAUACCUGCAGCCAGUAUUUAACCAUCUCACAGGCAAGUCUUGUACUGUCAAUAGCAAGUCUGAGCUGAAUCUCAACAACCUAUUGAAGAGAGAACACUGAGGUAGACUAAGAAAAUUAGCAAGUAACUGUAUUUUUCAAGAAGAUUAGAAAGAACAUUGGCAACAAGCUAAGAGCAUAUGAAAUAACUUGUACAAAGAGUGUCCGAAUGUAGAGAAGAUUCGAAACCAAAAAAAUUCAUACCUUGGCUUUCUUUACGUAUUUGUCCCUCUCUUCUACAAUUGUUAUCCCAUGAAUGCGCCUCAUAUCUGCAUAGUCCACCUGUACAUCCCCCCCUAAUGCAUUCUAUACCCUAAUGCAUUCUAUAUACAAAUAUUGAGAGAGAGAGAGAGAGAGAGAGAGAGAGAGAGAGAGAGAGAGAGAGAGAGAGAGAGAGAGAGAGAGAAGGCAAAUGCUACAAGUACACAGCACCUCCUCUGUAACCUUUAUGUCCAACAUAAUUACAGAGAUAAUAAGAAAAAACAAUAGAAAAGAGAAAAUCAAAAAAUGAAAAUGAGAACUACAAAAGAUAUACCUUCAUUGCAAAGGAGGACGAAGACACGCAACGAAAUCGCAAUUUAUAUAAUGUAGUGUAGUGAUGAGAUAAAGAGUCUUUGACUCAACUAUUUUAAAAUAAAUGGAGAGCUGAACAGAAUUGUGGUCAACAACAGAAGAAGCAAUUAUUGCACAGAAGAAAUCCUAUGCUGAACAAGUAUUAAAUUUAAACUCGGUCUCUAUGUUGGCAAAUUGACCAACAUUUUCCGAGAAAAUUGACUGCAGGAUCACCAAUUCAUUUUUACCAAUCUUUCCGUGCCAUGCACGUUCAAAUAUUUCAUCGCUGCAUACCAUGCAUAGGCCUUUUCGUUUCAGGCUAGUCUAUUUCCUUGGUGGAAACAUGCAUACAAGUGUUUCCAAAGCACACAGGCCAAAGAAUUUAUGAAAUACACGGGUCAGAUCUGGGUCAAUGAUAUUAUGAACGCCACGAACCAAAAUGUUGAUUAUGAUUAUUAUAUUGUCGUUCCAUCAGCAGCGAAGAAACUAACAAUUAACAAAUAGUUCGAUUUAAGUUUCACAAAGUUUUUUUGCCAAUUAUCAUAUAUCUGAAUUCACCAAAAGCUUCUGUAAUUGCCGAAGUAUAUGUGGCGAUGGUGCCCGAAUAGUUAGCGUCGAUGUUAGAACCUAUUUUUUUUGCAAAGGCCGUAAUCCUUUGCAUUAAAAUAAAAAAAUAUUUAUAUUUCAUUUAUAGCGUCUGAUUUCAAGGCCAUUACUCUUUUUUUUUGUAGCAGCCAAUUGCACCAAUAAUUAAAGAAAAAAGUCGUAUUGAACAAUCUAGAAUAUAAAAAUUAUGUACAACAAAUAAUCAAAUCAAUUGUACAUAUGUUCAAUUGAAUUCAAUUUAAAAAAAAUGAUGGUGGGCAAAAUUACCUUUUUCCACCUGUCCUUUCGCUUGUCGGACUUUAAGCUCCGGUUAGAAACUGAUGAAGAAGGAUUGAGGUGAGAAGCAUAAAUUUUUAAUUUAUUGGCUUUACAAACAUAAAUUUAUACUAAAAGUAUUAUUCUUCUAGCUGGUUCCAACAACAUACACCAAUAACAAAGGUCAUAUAGUUCAGACAAAUCAUUUCUUACAUUUCUUAUAUGUUGAGGAUUACUGGAGCUCAGGAGGACCAGUUCAGAACUCUUAUCGGAGUUCUUUUUUUCCUUUAUUAAAUUUUCAGAAAAAGACAUGUAACACAAUAGUAGAACUUGACAAAUUAACCGGCACUUAUUUUACUCAUAUAUAAUAUACUACCAGAUUUAAUUUUUAAUAGGAAUUUAAAUAGUACAUAUGUUUAAUUGUAACUGAACACACAAACAAUGGUAUCUUAACCAUAACUAAAAGUAUCUACAGAAAAUUUAUAAAUAAAUAUAAAAACAAUACAGCUACUCAUUUAAACACAUAAAGAGUUCUAGAAAAAAAA
RNAcentral lists this long non-coding RNA (3177 nucleotides) under Erythranthe guttata (spotted monkey flower). RNAcentral's name for it is "long non-coding RNA (EGUT_LNC001876)". The record is from RNAcentral. Lineage: Eukaryota; Viridiplantae; Streptophyta; Magnoliopsida; Lamiales; Phrymaceae.